Molecule: ribosomal RNA, 2900 nt
Filed under: Klebsiella pneumoniae subsp. pneumoniae KpQ24
Lineage: Bacteria; Pseudomonadati; Pseudomonadota; Gammaproteobacteria; Enterobacterales; Enterobacteriaceae
Description: bacterial LSU rRNA
Rfam family: Bacterial large subunit ribosomal RNA
Source: RNAcentral
UUAAGCGACUAAGCGUACACGGUGGAUGCCCUGGCAGUCAGAGGCGAUGAAGGACGUGCUAAUCUGCGAAAAGCGUCGGUAAGGUGAUAUGAACCGUUACAGCCGGCGAUGUCCGAAUGGGGAAACCCAGUGCAAUUCGUUGCACUAUCGUUAACUGAAUACAUAGGUUAACGAGGCGAACCGGGGGAACUGAAACAUCUAAGUACCCCGAGGAAAAGAAAUCAACCGAGAUUCCCCCAGUAGCGGCGAGCGAACGGGGAGCAGCCCAGAGUCUGAAUCAGCUUGUGUGUUAGUGGAACGGUCUGGAAAGUCCGACGGUACAGGGUGAUAGUCCCGUACACCAAAAUGCACAGGCUGUGAACUCGAAGAGUAGGGCGGGACACGUGGUAUCCUGUCUGAAUAUGGGGGGACCAUCCUCCAAGGCUAAAUACUCCUGACUGACCGAUAGUGAACCAGUACCGUGAGGGAAAGGCGAAAAGAACCCCGGCGAGGGGAGUGAAAAAGAACCUGAAACCGUGUACGUACAAGCAGUGGGAGCACCUUCGGGUGUGACUGCGUACCUUUUGUAUAAUGGGUCAGCGACUUAUAUUCUGUAGCAAGGUUAACCGUAUAGGGGAGCCGCAGGGAAACCGAGUCUUAACUGGGCGUUAAGUUGCAGGGUAUAGACCCGAAACCCGGUGAUCUAGCCAUGGGCAGGUUGAAGGUUGGGUAACACUAACUGGAGGACCGAACCGACUAAUGUUGAAAAAUUAGCGGAUGACUUGUGGCUGGGGGUGAAAGGCCAAUCAAACCGGGAGAUAGCUGGUUCUCCCCGAAAGCUAUUUAGGUAGCGCCUCGUGAAUUCAUCUUCGGGGGUAGAGCACUGUUUCGGCUAGGGGGUCAUCCCGACUUACCAACCCGAUGCAAACUACGAAUACCGAAGAAUGUUAUCACGGGAGACACACGGCGGGUGCUAACGUCCGUCGUGAAGAGGGAAACAACCCAGACCGCCAGCUAAGGUCCCAAAGUCAUGGUUAAGUGGGAAACGAUGUGGGAAGGCACAGACAGCCAGGAUGUUGGCUUAGAAGCAGCCAUCAUUUAAAGAAAGCGUAAUAGCUCACUGGUCGAGUCGGCCUGCGCGGAAGAUGUAACGGGGCUAAACCAUGCACCGAAGCUGCGGCAGCGACACUAUGUGUUGUUGGGUAGGGGAGCGUUCUGUAAGCCUGCGAAGGUGACCUGUGAGGGUUGCUGGAGGUAUCAGAAGUGCGAAUGCUGACAUAAGUAACGAUAAAGCGGGUGAAAAGCCCGCUCGCCGGAAGACCAAGGGUUCCUGUCCAACGUUAAUCGGGGCAGGGUGAGUCGACCCCUAAGGCGAGGCCGAAAGGCGUAGUCGAUGGGAAACAGGUUAAUAUUCCUGUACUUGGUGUUACUGCGAAGGGGGGACGGAGAAGGCUAUGUUAGCCGGGCGACGGUUGUCCCGGUUUAAGCAUGUAGGCUGAUUGUCCAGGCAAAUCCGGAUAAUCAAGGCUGAGGUGUGAUGACGAGGCACUACGGUGCUGAAGUAACAAAUGCCCUGCUUCCAGGAAAAGCCUCUAAGCAUCAGGUAACAUCAAAUCGUACCCCAAACCGACACAGGUGGUCAGGUAGAGAAUACCAAGGCGCUUGAGAGAACUCGGGUGAAGGAACUAGGCAAAAUGGUGCCGUAACUUCGGGAGAAGGCACGCUGGUGUGUAGGUGAAGUCCCUGCGGAUGGAGCUGAGACCAGUCGAAGAUACCAGCUGGCUGCAACUGUUUAUUAAAAACACAGCACUGUGCAAACACGAAAGUGGACGUAUACGGUGUGACGCCUGCCCGGUGCCGGAAGGUUAAUUGAUGGGGUUAUCCGUAAGGAGAAGCUCUUGAUCGAAGCCCCGGUAAACGGCGGCCGUAACUAUAACGGUCCUAAGGUAGCGAAAUUCCUUGUCGGGUAAGUUCCGACCUGCACGAAUGGCGUAAUGAUGGCCAGGCUGUCUCCACCCGAGACUCAGUGAAAUUGAACUCGCUGUGAAGAUGCAGUGUACCCGCGGCAAGACGGAAAGACCCCGUGAACCUUUACUAUAGCUUGACACUGAACAUUGAGCCUUGAUGUGUAGGAUAGGUGGGAGGCUUUGAAGCGUGGACGCCAGUCUGCGUGGAGCCAACCUUGAAAUACCACCCUUUAAUGUUUGAUGUUCUAACGUUGGCCCCUUACCGGGGUUGCGGACAGUGUCUGGUGGGUAGUUUGACUGGGGCGGUCUCCUCCCAAAGCGUAACGGAGGAGCACGAAGGUUAGCUAAUCCUGGUCGGACAUCAGGAGGUUAGUGCAAUGGCAUAAGCUAGCUUGACUGCGAGCGUGACGGCGCGAGCAGGUGCGAAAGCAGGUCAUAGUGAUCCGGUGGUUCUGAAUGGAAGGGCCAUCGCUCAACGGAUAAAAGGUACUCCGGGGAUAACAGGCUGAUACCGCCCAAGAGUUCAUAUCGACGGCGGUGUUUGGCACCUCGAUGUCGGCUCAUCACAUCCUGGGGCUGAAGUAGGUCCCAAGGGUAUGGCUGUUCGCCAUUUAAAGUGGUACGCGAGCUGGGUUUAGAACGUCGUGAGACAGUUCGGUCCCUAUCUGCCGUGGGCGCUGGAGAAUUGAGGGGGGCUGCUCCUAGUACGAGAGGACCGGAGUGGACGCAUCACUGGUGUUCGGGUUGUCAUGCCAAUGGCACUGCCCGGUAGCUAAAUGCGGAAGAGAUAAGUGCUGAAAGCAUCUAAGCACGAAACUUGCCCCGAGAUGAGUUCUCCCUGAGACUUUAAGUCUCCUGAAGGAACGUUAAAGACGAUGACGUUGAUAGGCCGGGUGUGUAAGCGCAGCGAUGCGUUGAGCUAACCGGUACUAAUGAACCGUGAGGCUUAACCUU